Molecule: long non-coding RNA, 1014 nt
Organism: Capsicum annuum
Lineage: Eukaryota; Viridiplantae; Streptophyta; Magnoliopsida; Solanales; Solanaceae
Exons: 3
Source: RefSeq, a predicted model, not a curated record
AAUCUAAUUUUGAACGAAUUAAAUUAAUAUAAAUUAAGCCAAUAAAUGAAAGUAUCAAUAAUCAACUCAAACUUGAACGGAUUGAGCCGAGUUGAGCUUGAUUUUGCAACCUCAGGUGAAAGUGGGAACACAAGUUUGACUUUCUCCUAAUAAUUCUCUCCAACUGAAAAAAGCAGGGCCUAGUGCCUGAAAACUGUUAUUGGCUUAAGGUUUAGGGUUUAAAAUCUUCAUUUCCGCUCCUCCUCCUGUGAAUUUUUGAAGUUCUCUUUUUUGCUCAUCCUCAUCAUGGCUCAUACCAGACAACCUUUAGAUUUUGAACAAAUAUUGAAGGAAGCCUACCACUGCUAGCUUCGGCCCCCUGAAAUUUGUGAUAUCUUUCGCAAUCAUCAAAACUUCUACUCUACUCAACGGCCUCCACUCAAACCUCCAGGUUCAGAAAUUAAUUGUUUCACUUAAACUAGUGCUUUGGGCAUUUCACUCCCUAAUAUACCUUUUGUGCUGAAUUCUGGAGGCUCCUUGUUUCUAUAUGAUCGAAAAUUAGUACCACAUUUCCGUAAAAAUGGUCACAACUGUAGAAAGAAAAAGGAUGGUAAAACUGUGGACGAUGUUAAUCGAAAAGUUGAAGGAAGACGACAUUGAUGUUCUUCAUUGUUACUAUGCCCAUAGGAAGGACAACAAGAACUUUCAAGAGGCGAAGUUAUUGGAUGCUUGAAGAGUGAAUCUCUGUUUUUGGUAUCCUUUUAGCUUGUUCUGUGUUGUUGCUUUGAGGUGAAGACGCGCGUGCUAGGGGAAAAUUAUAUAAAUAGAUUAUGUAAUUUGAUGAAUACUUAUCAAUUUAGUCAGUUUCACAUAUAAUUUUAUUUUCUUGUACCUGGUUUGAUGUUUAUCAGCUAUUUGGAUGUUCCUUACCGUUCAUUUAUCAUCAAUCUUCCAAACUUUAAUUAGAUUUUGUCUUGUAUAUCAAAAGCUAAAAGAAUGAGAGUGUGUACUAUUAUUCUUCAAGGAUUUCUCAAA